UCGUAACAAGGUCUCCGUUGGUGAACCAGCGGAGGGAUCAUUACCGAGUUUACAACUCCCAAACCCCUGUGAACAUACCUAUACGUUGCCUCGGCGGAUCAGCCCGCGCCCCGUAAAACGGGACGGCCCGCCCGAGGACCCCUAAACUCUGUUUUUAGUGGAACUUCUGAGUAAAACAAACAAAUAAAUCAAAACUUUCAACAACGGAUCUCUUGGUUCUGGCAUCGAUGAAGAACGCAGCAAAAUGCGAUAAGUAAUGUGAAUUGCAGAAUUCAGUGAAUCAUCGAAUCUUUGAACGCACAUUGCGCCCGCCAGUAUUCUGGCGGGCAUGCCUGUUCGAGCGUCAUUUCAACCCUCAAGCUCAGCUUGGUGUUGGGACUCGCGGUAACCCGCGUUCCCCAAAUCGAUUGGCGGUCACGUCGAGCUUCCAUAGCGUAGUAAUCAUACACCUCGUUACUGGUAAUCGUCGCGGCCACGCCGUAAAACCCCAACUUCUGAAUGUUGACCUCGGAUCAGGUAGGAAUACCCGCUGAACCUAAGCAUAUCA
RNAcentral lists this unclassified non-coding RNA (547 nucleotides) under Fusarium incarnatum. Its description in RNAcentral is "sequence contains 18S rRNA gene, ITS1, 5.8S rRNA gene, ITS2, 28S rRNA gene". The stretch from base 193 to 346 matches the Rfam family "5.8S ribosomal RNA". Lineage: Eukaryota; Fungi; Ascomycota; Sordariomycetes; Hypocreales; Nectriaceae. The record is from RNAcentral.